GGGCAAGACAGGUGAAGUAGGCCCACCAGCAAGCUGGUGAUCCUUCUUCACGUCUUGCCUAUUCGCCUACCGGCUCAAGGUGAGUUUCCGAAUCGGAA
Molecule: non-coding RNA, 98 nt
Organism: Pseudomonas fulva
Lineage: Bacteria; Pseudomonadati; Pseudomonadota; Gammaproteobacteria; Pseudomonadales; Pseudomonadaceae
Source: Rfam